This 213-nucleotide ribosomal RNA is filed under the name uncultured Leptolinea sp. Its description in RNAcentral is "partial 16S ribosomal RNA". It matches the Rfam family "Bacterial small subunit ribosomal RNA", at positions 1168 to 1382 of the family's 1533-position model. Lineage: Bacteria; Bacillati; Chloroflexota; Anaerolineae; Anaerolineales; Anaerolineaceae. The record is from RNAcentral.
GGAAGUGGGAUGAUGUCAAGUCAGCAUGGCCUUUAUAUCCUGGGCUACACACACGCUACAAUGGCCAACACAAUAGGUUGCUAAGCCGCGAGGUGGCGCCAAUCCAUAAAGUUGGUCUCAGUUCAGAUUGUAGGCUGCAACCCGCCUGCAUGAAGAUGGAGUUGCUAGUAACCGCAGGUCAGCUAUACUGCGGUGAAUACGUUCCCGGGGCUU